AGCUCCGGUGGCCUAGUGGUUAGAGCAUCUGCCUCAGAUGCAGGAGGUCAUGGGUUUGAUCCCCAUUCAAGUCA
Potamilus streckersoni is the source of this 74-nucleotide non-coding RNA. The record is from the annotation of a GenBank genome assembly. NCBI's taxonomy places the organism in Eukaryota, Metazoa, Mollusca, Bivalvia, Unionida, Unionidae.